AGCAGCCGCGGUAAUUCCAGCUCCAAUAGCGUAUAUUAAAGUUGUUGCAGUUAAAAGCUCGUAGUUGAAUUUCGGGAUUGGCGCAUCGGUCGUGCCUCACGGGGUAUGAACUGGUGCAGUCAAUUUCUCACCUUCUGGAGAACCGCGAUGUCCUUAAUUGGAUGCCGCGGGGAACCAGGACCUUUACUUUGAAAAAUUGAGUGUUUAAAGCAGGCAUUUUUGCUUUGAAUACAUUAGCAUGGAAUAAUAAAAUAGGACGGCAUGGUUCUAUUUUGUUGGUUUCUAGGACCACCGUAAUGAUUAAUAGGGAUAGUUGGGGGCAUUAGUAUUCAAUUGUCAGAGGUGAAAUUCUUGGAUUUAUUGAAGACUAACUAUUGCGAAAGCAUUUGCCAAGGAUGUUUUCAUUAAUCAAGAACGAAAGUUAGGGAUACGAAGACGAUCAGAUACCGUCGUAGUCUUAACCAUAAACUAUAGACCGACUAGGAAUCAGACGAUGUUUAAUUUUUAAUGUACUUGUUGG
RNAcentral lists this unclassified non-coding RNA (520 nucleotides) under uncultured Entrophospora. Its description in RNAcentral is "SSU rRNA". It matches the Rfam family "Eukaryotic small subunit ribosomal RNA", at positions 569 to 1082 of the family's 1831-position model. Lineage: Eukaryota; Fungi; Glomeromycota; Glomeromycetes; Entrophosporales; Entrophosporaceae. The record is from RNAcentral.